RNAcentral lists this microRNA precursor (81 nucleotides) under Ochotona princeps (American pika). RNAcentral's name for it is "miRNA (ENSOPRG00000022394.1)". Lineage: Eukaryota; Metazoa; Chordata; Mammalia; Lagomorpha; Ochotonidae. The record is from RNAcentral.
AGGUUGACCAGCUGUCCUGGUUUGCCUGGGUCUGAGGAAUUUGCUGGGAUGCAAGACUUUGCGUGCCCAGACCAGGAGAAU